Molecule: transfer RNA, 72 nt
Filed under: Verrucomicrobiales bacterium
Lineage: Bacteria; Pseudomonadati; Verrucomicrobiota; Verrucomicrobiia; Verrucomicrobiales
Description: tRNA-Lys
Rfam family: tRNA
About the family: Transfer RNA (tRNA) molecules are approximately 80 nucleotides in length. Their secondary structure includes four short double-helical elements and three loops (D, anti-codon, and T loops). Further hydrogen bonds mediate the characteristic L-shaped molecular structure. tRNAs have two regions of fundamental functional importance: the anti-codon, which is responsible for specific mRNA codon recognition, and the 3' end, to which the tRNAs corresponding amino acid is attached (by aminoacyl-tRNA synthetases). tRNAs cope with the degeneracy of the genetic code in two manners: having more than one tRNA (with a specific anti-codon) for a particular amino acid; and 'wobble' base-pairing, i.e. permitting non-standard base-pairing at the 3rd anti-codon position.
Source: RNAcentral
GGGGUUAUAGCUCAGUGGUAGAGCAGUUGGCUUUUAACCAUUUGGUCCUGGGUUCGAGUCCCAGUAAUCCUU